This is a long non-coding RNA of Oncorhynchus masou masou (cherry salmon), 942 nucleotides long. RefSeq lists it as uncharacterized. Lineage: Eukaryota; Metazoa; Chordata; Actinopteri; Salmoniformes; Salmonidae. The record is from RefSeq and is a predicted model, not a curated record. The transcript has 3 exons.
CAGAACAAGGUAACUAUGGUGUCUCUAUGCAUCCUCUAGGGGUAAACAGAACAAGGUAACUAUGGUGUGUCUAUUCAUCCUCUAGGGGUAAACAGAACAAGGUAACUAUGGUGUGUCUAUUCAUCCUCUAGGGGUAAACAGAACAAGGUAACUAUGGUGUCUCUAUUCAUCCUCUAGGGGUAAACAGAACAAGGUAACUAUGGUGUCUCUAUGCAUCCUCUAGGGGUAAACAGAACAAGGUAACUAUGGUGUCUCUAUUCAUCCUCUAGGGGUAAACAGAACAAGGUAACUAUGGUGUCUCUUCAUCCUCUAGGGUUAAACAAGAACAAGGUAACUAUGGUGUCUCUUCGUCCUCUAGGGUUAAACAGAACAAGGUAACUAUGGUGUCUCUAUUCAUCCUCUAGGGGUAAACAGAACAAGGUAACUAUGGUGUCUCUAUUCAUCCUCUAGGGGUAAACAGAACAAGGUAACUAUGGUGUCUCUAUUCAUCCUCUAGGGUAAACAGAACAAGGUAACUAUGGUGUCUCUAUUCAUCCUCUAGGGGUAAACAGAACAAGGUAACUAUGGUGUCUCUAUGCAUCCUCUAGGGGUAAACAGAACAAGGUAACUAUGGUGUCUCUAUUCAUCCUCUAGGGGUAAACAGAACAAGGUAACUAUGGUGUCUCUAUUCAUCCUCUAGGGGUAAACAGAACAAGGUAACUAUGGUGUCUCUAUUCAUCCUCUAGGGGUAAACACAUGCAGGUCAUUAUUAAUGGGUUUCGUAUGUAAUAUGCCAAUUUCAGUUAUUUAUGCCUCCCAUUGUUGGGUAACUUGAGUUUCAUCCAAUCUGAGACUGGGAGGGUUUACUGUAAAUAUAGUUAGGUAGUAGUCUGACCUAGUGGUUGACUGGGUGGGUUUACUGUAAAUAUAGUUAGGUAGUAGUCUGACCUAGUGGUUGACUGG